This 486-nucleotide long non-coding RNA is filed under the name Chrysemys picta bellii (western painted turtle). RNAcentral's name for it is "lncRNA (ENSCPBG00000022552.1)". The record is from RNAcentral. Lineage: Eukaryota; Metazoa; Chordata; Testudines; Emydidae.
UUCAUUAUAAUUUUGUAGGUAUAUAGAUGUGGAAUUUCCCUGUGCCAUACCUGAGGGAUGUGCAGUUUCAAAUCUGGGUAGAACCAGGGAAAAGGAGGAAUGCACUGCUUCCAGAAGAAAAAAACAACAACAACAACGACACAGGCUUUUUGGACACUUCCCUCUAUGUUCUUGUUUUACUUAGAUUACUGUUUUUCCAGGGGAAAGAGGAAUUCCUUGGAGUCAGUUGUUUUUUUUUCAUUAGUUGUUUGUAUGCAGGAGUGGGUACAACUGUAGACAAUGAUUUUAUUUUUGUUAUAGAGCUUUAUAAUGUAUGUGGGCUAUCCAUUUAUACGUAUAUACACAAACAUGUAUGCAUACAUAUGCUGUCUUUUUAUGUUCACUUUUUACUAUACAUGAUUACACAUUUUUGCGUAUAAAAUAUUAUUUCCACUUGAUCAGUGAGAUAUUAAUAAAAUCUGAAACAGGAAAUGAGUGUAUGUAUAA